CCAACCCUAACUACAUAAUUCACAUUUGAAAUUUGGAACCACUUUUGACUGAUUAAUAUGGCCGCAGAAGCAAAUAAGAUCCGCAGGUACUCUCUUUCUUCUUCUUCUUCUUUCUCUGAUUCCAUCUCCGUUAUCUCAUUCUGCAAACUUUUCAGUCGAAUUUCAGAGAUUCACAACUUCAUCAAAAACGACGAAGAAGAAUCAAACCCUUCAGAUUCCGCCGAUUUACUCCACGACUGUGCUCUUCAUGUUCAAGUUGCGUNN
RNAcentral lists this long non-coding RNA (264 nucleotides) under Trifolium pratense (red clover). RNAcentral describes it as "long non-coding RNA (TPRA_LNC001087)". Lineage: Eukaryota; Viridiplantae; Streptophyta; Magnoliopsida; Fabales; Fabaceae. The record is from RNAcentral.